GGAGUUAGCCGGUGCUUCUUCUGCGAGUAACGUCACAGCUAGCAGGUAUUAACUACUAACCUUUCCUCCUCGCUGAAAGUGCUUUACAACCCGAAGGCCUUCUUCACACACGCGGCAUGGCUGCAUCAGGGUUUCCCCCAUUGUGCAAUAUUCCCCACUGCUGCCUCCCGUAGGAGUCUGGGCCGUGUCUCAGUCCCAGUGUGGCUGAUCAUCCUCUCAGACCAGCUAGGGAUCGUUGCCUAGGUGAGCCAUUACCUCACCUACUAGCUAAUCCCACCUGGGCUUAUCCAUCAGCGCAAGGACCGAAGUUCCCCUGCUUUCCCCCGUAGGGCGUAUGCGGUAUUAGCAGUCGUUUCCAACUGUUAUCCCCCACAAAUGGGCAAAUUCCCAGGCAUUACUCACCCGUCCGCCGCUCGUCAUCUUCAAAGCAAGCUUUUGAAAUGUUACCGCUCGACUUGCAUGUGUUAGGCCUGCCGCCAGCGUUCAAUCUGAGCCAGAUCAAACUCUGA
This 509-nucleotide ribosomal RNA is filed under the name uncultured bacterium. RNAcentral's name for it is "partial 16S ribosomal RNA". The record is from RNAcentral.